RNAcentral lists this long non-coding RNA (249 nucleotides) under Gallus gallus (chicken). Lineage: Eukaryota; Metazoa; Chordata; Aves; Galliformes; Phasianidae. The record is from RNAcentral.
AGCAGAUCUGCCUCCAGGUCAGGAAGAAAGCACCAGGAGAGGUGUACAGCCCUGUAACACCUGCAGACAUUUUCAUCUGCACAGGAGAAAUGUUUCUUCAGAACUGCAUCGAGAGGGAUACAGUAAAAACACUUCUAACCCGAUACAGAUGAAAGGCAUCAAAAUCCUCGGGACAGAAAACAAGGGCGAAAAGAAAUCCGAACCUUCAAUAGGAACAUUUGGAGUUAAGCUUACUUCCUACAACAGUUU